Molecule: ribosomal RNA, 666 nt
Filed under: Escherichia coli
Lineage: Bacteria; Pseudomonadati; Pseudomonadota; Gammaproteobacteria; Enterobacterales; Enterobacteriaceae
Description: partial 23S ribosomal RNA
Rfam family: Bacterial large subunit ribosomal RNA
Source: RNAcentral
GAAUCCAUAGGUUAAUGAGGCGAACCGGGGGAACUGAAACAUCUAAGUACCCCGAGGAAAAGAAAUCAACCGAGAUUCCCCCAGUAGCGGCGAGCGAACGGGGAGCAGCCCAGAGCCUGAAUCAGUAUGUGUGUUAGUGGAAGCGUCUGGAAAGGCGCGCGAUACAGGGUGACAGCCCCGUACACAAAAAUGCACAUGCUGUGAGCUCGAUGAGUAGGGCGGGACACGUGGUAUCCUGUCUGAAUAUGGGGGGACCAUCCUCCAAGGCUAAAUACUCCUGACUGACCGAUAGUGAACCAGUACCGUGAGGGAAAGGCGAAAAGAACCCCGGCGAGGGGAGUGAAAAAGAACCUGAAACCGUGUACGUACAAGCAGUGGGAGCACGCUUAGGCGUGUGACUGCGUACCUUUUGUAUAAUGGGUCAGCGACUUAUAUUCUGUAGCAAGGUUAACCGAAUAGGGGAGCCGAAGGGAAACCGAGUCUUAACUGGGCGUUAAGUUGCAGGGUAUAGACCCGAAACCCGGUGAUCUAGCCAUGGGCAGGUUGAAGGUUGGGUAACACUAACUGGAGGACCGAACCGACUAAUGUUGAAAAAUUAGCGGAUGACUUGUGGCUGGGGGUGAAAGGCCAAUCAAACCGGGAGAUAGCUGGUUCUCCCCGAAAGCU